GAUGAACGCUGGCGGCGUGCCUAAUACAUGCAAGUCGAGCGAACAGACGAGGAGCUUGCUCCUCUGACGUUAGCGGCGGACGGGUGAGUAACACGUGGAUAACCUACCUAUAGGACUGGGAUAACUUCGGGAAACCGGAGCUAAUACCGGAUAAUAUAUUGCACCGCAUGGUUCAAUAGUGAAAGACGGUUUUGCUGUCACUUAUAGAUGGAUCCGCCCCCCAUUAGCUAGUUGGUAAGGUAACAGCUUACCAAGGCAACGAUGCGUAGCCGACCUGAGAGGGUGAUCGGCCACACUGGAACUGAGACACGGUCCAGACUCCUACGGGAGGCAGCAGUAGGGAAUCUUCCGCAAUGGGCGAAAGCCUGACGGAGCAACGCCGCGUGAGUGAUGAAGGUCUUCGGAUCGUAAAACUCUGUUAUUAGGGAAGAACAAAUGUGUAAGUAACUAUGCACGUCUUGACGGUACCUAAUCAGAAAGCCACGGCUAACUACGUG
Molecule: ribosomal RNA, 497 nt
Filed under: uncultured bacterium
Lineage: Bacteria
Description: partial 16S ribosomal RNA
Rfam family: Bacterial small subunit ribosomal RNA
Source: RNAcentral